GCGCCUCCGGAGAGCUGCGAGGGUAAAGGCGGCGGCGGGGCCCCGACCGGCCCAGCCUCCGACCCGGGGGUUCUUGCCGUGGAGCCAGGCGCCCGGUUUCCCGCCAGCACGGCAGCCUCUCAGGCGGUGGCGGGGGCCUCGUAGAAGGGAGAGGAUGGGGCUCAUCUGCGCUGGGUCUGCCGCCGCCCAGAGCCGCUGCAAAGCGAUGAGGCCGGGUGCACACUGUUGCUGAAAGGACAGGGUCGUGCACGCUCAUCCCUUACAAAAAAGGAACAGCUCAGAAAAACGAUUGGGCCAGCAGGCGCCAGAAGCUAGUGCUACUGCUUAAAGCUGGGCAGGAGGUUUACGGGGGUUUGUUCUAUGUUUUCGGGCUUGUUAAUAUUUCCUGAAUCUUGUUACUUGAGAACUUUUUUGUUUUGAUUUUGGAAGGAAAUAUUUGGGCAAACAGUCCAUGUGUAGUUCUCCAGUGUUACAGCAUAAUUCUGCUGCGAACAGCCCUGUCCUGUUAUUUGUUAAGGAAGGAUCAGCCGGGAUAACAGUGGCAGUUCGGGAAUGAAUACACAACUAGGAUUUUUGUAAUGAACGAAUAAAAAGAAUGAGAAAAUGAGAUUGCUGGUUAGAUACAGAAUUGGUGACUGACUAUUCUACUGUGCUAUGGAGCACAGCCUUGGUCUGAGUGGAAAGACAAAUUACCGAAGCUUAUCAGUGUCCUACAGGUUACCCUGUGACUCACAGAUUGAGAAGUGUUUGGGCCCAGUCAGUGUCUAAGUCCUGGAAGCAGGCUGUUGUGAGGUGAUAACACCGCAGGCAGUGGUGACUUCUGCGUCCUUUCUUGCUGGUCUAGGGUGAGAGGCAUGUGGUUGGGCCAAGGAGCAGAAAUAGACACAGAAGGAGAACUGGGCUCACCCCACAUUGCGCCUCUGUGGUGGCUGACUGCUGACUCAGGGGCUGCUCAGAGAGGCAGUGCAGCUCUGCAGGACCCCAGUGAGGGCAGUCCAGCUGGCCCCUGGCAGCUGCUGUGGGAGCCAGGCUUCCUCCCUCAGGCUUCGGCCAUUGGGUUGUGCUGACCUGGCUCCUCCCUCCCAGCUGUAGACCAGCCCUGUGGGCUGUGUGCACCUUGCCUGAGGGACCACACCAUCCCCAGGAGCUCUGAGCACUGUAUCUGAAUGAAUGGGGAUUAGUGGCACUGUUUGAGGGUAGUAAGUGACGGUGUGUAAUCUGUUGUUUCUGAAUCUAGUGGCCCCUGCUCUGGGAGAGCUAGCAGGGCUUGCUGGGGUCCUGCCUUUGGCUUUCCUGCUUCUGUCCCCAUCACUGGCUGUUCUGUCUGAAGUUCUUCCUUCUGCAUAGAUACGGUCUUAUGGCUGAAAGGUAGCCUGAAGGCCUGGGGGCCAUUCUUCCUGGUAGCAGUGAAGCAGGCUAGUUAAAUAUGCCAGCAUAAAUACUUCAUUACUCUGUGUCUCUUAACUCCCAGUCACACACCAGGGCCCAGAGAGGUUAAGAAACUUAUUUUCUUAGCUUCUGUUAGCAAAAAACCAGAGAGAGCCCACUAAAUUGGCUGUUCUGGAUGGCCUAGUCCUGGUGCUCUGGGGUCCCUCCCACCCCGACCAAACCAGACCCUUCCUAAGGAAGCACUGGUGCUGGCUGCUCUGGGAGAAGGGGUGUGGCCAUGCUCUUCAGAGCUGGGACCACCCCACCCGAGGCACAGGCUCCAUUGGCCAAGAGCAGGUUGAUUCAGUGGUGGCAAAGUGGCAACUGUGAGUCUGAUCUGGUGACUGACUGUGGACAGCACAAGAGACGUUUCGAGCCUGCAUUUCGGCAGUACCCAGGCUGUGCUUCGUUUUGAGAAUUUGAGACUCUGGCUUCUGCAGUUUUACAAGCCAGUCAAGUCCGAACUUGGGUAAGUUUGACUACAUGAGCACACCUUAGCAUCUGCUUAUAUGUGGACAAAGAUCUCUUGAGUGCCUCUGUGGGCCAGGCAUUGUCACGCAGAGGGACACCUCGGCAUCAGUGAGAGCGUGCUGCUGAACAACUGGAGUGUUGUAGGAGGAGUAGUGGAGGAGACCCAGGGGUGUGUCAGGAGCUUGCUGCAGAGGUGCUUUACCCUCGUGGUGAGACCCCCGGCUAGGCUUACCUUUCCUCUGGCCUGGGUGGGGUGGGAGAGCAGAAAAAGCCUGUGGGCGGAGGGCCCUCUGCCUAGGGAAGUGGCUGUUCCCAGAGGACCAGGGGUGUGGCACAGUGCAAGAUGCAGAUGUUGAAAUGGAGCCCAGAAGAUGGGUGGCUUAUACCAGAUCUGUAGUCCCGGCUGGCUUUGGGGAGCCCUGCCAGGGUCUCAGCCUAGGAAAUAACAUGAGGAACAGGAGCACAGCUUCCUUGGGCAAGCUUCCGGUGUGAACUUUGAAAUGACAGUAAUGACCGUCUCCUGGCACGGAAGCAGGGUGGUCCUAAGUCAGGAAUAGGUAUGAGGCCUGCUUUCUGUGCUCUCCAAGUGAUUGGAGAAUAAGCAAAUAGGAAGUGAUUGUGAAUAGCAAAAACAAUUUUUAAAGCUGCAAGGAAAGAAUGGACUUCUGUUUUUACAUUGUUGCAGAGAUUUGUAUCAUUUCCAUGGAUGUUAAUUUUUGAGUGGGUAAAACACCCAUAUGGC
RNAcentral lists this long non-coding RNA (2641 nucleotides) under Heterocephalus glaber (naked mole-rat). RNAcentral describes it as "lncRNA (ENSHGLG00100050133.1)". Lineage: Eukaryota; Metazoa; Chordata; Mammalia; Rodentia; Bathyergidae. The record is from RNAcentral.